Molecule: small RNA, 867 nt
Filed under: Pongo abelii (Sumatran orangutan)
Lineage: Eukaryota; Metazoa; Chordata; Mammalia; Primates; Hominidae
Description: retained intron
Source: RNAcentral
UCCCUGGGCUGCUGGUCUUCUUUACCUUCCAGCUGCUCACAGAACAGAGAGUUUCUACAUACAAGCAGAAGAUGUGAAAAUAUUGGGAAUAAAUAAAGUAUAUGCUUAUAAACAAGUUGUGGCUGCUCCUGGUUACGUUGUGCCUGACCGAGGAACUGGCAGGAGCGGGAGAGAAGUCUUAUGGAAAGCCAUGUGGGGGCCAAGACUGCAGACGGAGCUGUCAGUGUUUUCCUGAGAAAGGAGCGAGAGGGCGACCUGGACCAAUUGGAAUUCAAGGCCCAACAGGUCCUCAAGGAUUCACUGGCUCUACUGGUUUAUCAGGAUUGAAAGGAGAAAGGGGUUCCCCAGGCCUUCUCGGACCUUAUGGACCAAAAGGAGAUAAGGGUCCCAUGGGAGUUCCUGGCUUUCUUGGCAUCAAUGGGAUUCCGGGCCAUCCUGGACAGCCAGGCCCCAGAGGCCCACCUGGUCUGGAUGGCUGUAAUGGAACUCAAGGAGCUGUUGGAUUUCCAGGCCCUGAUGGCUAUCCUGGGCUUCUCGGACCACCCGUAUGCUGCCAGAUAUUUGCAUUUUAUUUCAAAUGGCUUUGCUUGUCUCUACGUGUGCCCUUUUUCUGCCUCUCUGGAAACCUCAUUAAGAUUUUGUGGGGCAGCCACUACAGACCCUUGUCCAAUGUAGGAGUCAAUACUGGCAGCACCACAACAGUAAAAGUCUAAAGAAGAAUACCAGUUGCAGUGGGGUGUGCACUUGCUACACUGCUUAGGGUUACCUUUUUUUAAUGCAGCUUGUGAAGUUGGCAAGAUUGUUAAAAGGCUGUAGUAAAUUUCAUGGCAAAAUACACACUUGGGCUAUUUGACAUGGUCCCACAUC